UCGAAAUGCGGCUGACCUUUCUUCUCGUUUGGAAAAGGCUCAACAACCAAUCGUCGAUCUGGAAGCUCGGUCGCGUCGGAAUAUCCGAAUUGUUGGAUUAAAAGAAAAAUCAGAAAGUGCCGACACACUGGAUUAUUUUGCCAAAACGUUUGUCUCUAUUUCCGGAGGCUUGUUCACAGCCGCCGGAGACUGAAAUGGCUCAAAGACUCUCUUGGACCAAGUUCCGGAGCAUGCAUAUUUCGUAUAUGGUUAUACAUAUCACCGCCAGUUUUGAUUAGACCGCGCUGGGAAAAUCCUUACCUGCGAAGAAUCGGAGGUGACCGGAAGGAUGUUUUCUCUCCUUCUUUUUCCUCUAAUUUUAUCCUCAAAUGGACUGCCCAAUCUUUCCUUUCUUUUAUUUUCUUUUUUUUUUGUUUCAAUUUAGUUUAGUGGGGUUUUCUUUUCCUUUUAUUAAUUAAAAUUUUCCAACGUUUUCUUUAAGAUUUGUUAAGAGGAGUUGUGGUUUUUCGUUGUGGUUUGUGGUUGUGGUUAUAACAGCGUAACAUUAUACCUAUCUGAUUUUGACAAUAUAUAGUUUUUUUUUGCUGUUUAUACAUCUUUUGUAUUAUCUGUUUGCUAAACUUCUCCUCUGAUUUGUAUAU
This is a long non-coding RNA of Hypanus sabinus (Atlantic stingray), 641 nucleotides long. RefSeq lists it as uncharacterized. NCBI's taxonomy places the organism in Eukaryota, Metazoa, Chordata, Chondrichthyes, Myliobatiformes, Dasyatidae. The transcript is spliced from 3 exons. The record is from RefSeq and is a predicted model, not a curated record.